UACAGAGGUCUCAAGCGUUGUUCGGAUUCAUUGGGCGUAAAGGGUGCGUAGGCGGCGCGGUAAGUCGGGUGUGAAAUCUCGGAGCUUAACUCCGAAACUGCAUUCGAUACUGCCGUGCUUGAGGACUGGAGAGGAGACUGGAAUUUACGGUGUAGCGGUGAAAUGCGUAGAUAUCGUAAGGAAGACCAGUGGCGAAGGCGGGUCUCUGGACAGUGACUGACGCUGAGGCACGAAGGUCAGGGGAGCAAACGGG
This 253-nucleotide ribosomal RNA is filed under the name uncultured bacterium. RNAcentral's name for it is "partial 16S ribosomal RNA". It matches the Rfam family "Bacterial small subunit ribosomal RNA", at positions 524 to 776 of the family's 1533-position model. The record is from RNAcentral.